UCUCUCCCUUCUUCGUUGCUUCUCAUUCCCUUUUUGCCUUCGAUGAAGCUCAGCUUUCAUUUUCAUUCCCUUUUCAUUUUAAUCCACCGAACCUCCUUGCUGCCAUUUGUCUCACGUCUAUACUCCAUGGGUCAAAGUUAUUCAGCAAGAGUUGUGGUGUUGACUUCUUGAAGCUCACGAACGACCGAAGCCCUUCUUUUUCUGUCGGUUUUGUGCGUUGUCCAGCACCACCGAUCAAAGCAGCUCACGGCAGAAGCUGCUCCAUCCAGUGUUCUCCUCGCUCAACUCACGCCAGCACACCUCACGCUCGGUCAACCAAAGCUCACUUUGCGCCCACGCCGUAGACCUUGGAAGCUCCAUCGCUCCACCGAAGUUCAUCCUAUCUCCGCCUGUUUCAUCCUACCGAAGCAACACCGACCCACGCGUCCACAGCUACCCUUCCCGGUCAACAACAAGCCACUGAAGCUUCUUAUUUGACCUGCAACUCCUUCGUGCGUCCAGUGAAGCCGCACGCAUCCAACGCCUCCUCCAGCGAAGCCUUCACGAGCAGCAGCUUCCAGCGAAGCCUUAAGCCAGCUGCCGUCCAAGCCGCACGUUCCCUUCGCCCGCAAAUCCUCGACCCAAAUAUCUCAGAAGCCUGCAGUGACUUCUUUCCUUAUGCGGCCCAGCGUCUUCAGCCCAGCAAUUUGUCAUUUUAGGUGGCCCAAUAACAGCCCGCAGUUUGGCAUCUUCAAGCCCAAUUCCCCGCAAGCCAACCCAAGUUGAUUAAGAGCAGCCCAUCUUCAGCAGGCCCAACCCAAUUUGGGUCCAGCCCAAAAGCAAGAAUAAAUCUCAGUUGGGCUAAGAUUUGUUGGGCCAAGUUCAAGGCCCGGUCCAAGCCCGCCGGUAUUGUCGAAAGUCUGAUUUCGGCUGCCGUCGCGUCGUCGUCGCGGUGUCCCGGUCCCCGCUUUUUACCAAGUGAGUUUUACUCACUAAUGUUUUCUUAGUUUGCUAAUUAUGCUUAGGGGUUGAUUAGAUUUAAU
RNAcentral lists this long non-coding RNA (1022 nucleotides) under Eucalyptus grandis. Its description in RNAcentral is "long non-coding RNA (EGRA_LNC000681)". The record is from RNAcentral. Lineage: Eukaryota; Viridiplantae; Streptophyta; Magnoliopsida; Myrtales; Myrtaceae.